CAGGUGUGUUGGGAUUGUCUGCUCU
RNAcentral lists this microRNA (25 nucleotides) under Equus caballus (horse). RNAcentral's name for it is "eca-miR-9017". The record is from miRBase by way of RNAcentral. Lineage: Eukaryota; Metazoa; Chordata; Mammalia; Perissodactyla; Equidae.